CUGGGUUUCACCCCAGGGCUUGCACAGGAGGCAGGUGCUGCAGCACAGCUCUGUGCACUGUGUGCUCUUGGAUAGAUGCCUUUGUGCGUACUUAUGAUGCAGAGUUCUAAACAUUCAGAAGAUUCUUGGCCUUGCCCCUUCACGAGCCGCCACCAAGCAGGCCGGUGGAUUUCUUGGCCCUCCACCUCCUUCUGGAAAGUUCUCUUGAAUUUAAGCAGAGCCUGUUAAUUCCUGUUAUUCUUUUUAGACACGCAUGUCAGACUGGCAACUUUUAUAGCAAGAACUGUAGGCCCCCAUCUUGCUUUGAAUUGGUUCUCAGCUUUUUUAAUGUGAUGAGGUGCCUAACAGUAGUUAGUGCUGUUGGCCACAGGUAAUUUUUUUUUUUUUAUUACUACCCUGAUUACUUAAGUUCAGGUGAUCUUUAUGUAAUGAAAAACAGAUAUCUUUCUUGCUUUGCUUGCGUAAACAUUGUCUGUGGGAGAACUCACAGCUGUGUGUGUGCCAUCUACCAUGGAAGCUGACUAAAAGCUCGAAGAAAAAUUCAGUCUGUGUAUCUAAACGUAAUUGGAAUUAUUUGUUGUGUUUUUAAUGCCAAAUCACCUAAGAUCAAUAAAGAAGCCAGAUUUUUUAGCUA
This is a long non-coding RNA of Octodon degus (degu), 634 nucleotides long. RefSeq lists it as uncharacterized. The record is from RefSeq and is a predicted model, not a curated record. NCBI's taxonomy places the organism in Eukaryota, Metazoa, Chordata, Mammalia, Rodentia, Octodontidae. The transcript has 2 exons.